UUUUUUUUUUUUUUUUUAAUGUCCUUUUCUAGUCUUUUAUGUAAUUCUGGGCCUCUGAGAUUAGAUUUGUUUAAAGGCCUGGAUCUCAUUUUAGUAGGAUUUUUAUGAUAUGAAAAGGGCUAUAAUAACCAGAUGGAGAGAGCAAGCUUUUUUUAUGUUUAUUAAUCAAGCAUUUUUGCUGCUUAAUUUUUCCGGUUUUGUAACAAGAAAAUGAGUUUUUGAUAUUUUGGUUCUCUCCUUAGAAUGCUCUCAUACUCUUACAAACUAAUUAGGGUUAGGGCUAUUAGCCACAUCAAAAAGUUUGGUAAAUUGAUUAAGGAAACUGCUCCACUGGAAAGCCUACAACAAAGUCUAACUGUUUGUCCUUCAUUAUUAACUCUAUCAAAUGUCUUUGUUCAAAAAGAUAAAUAGCUCUUUGUUGCCUGGUCUAGCAUCCAGUUUCAGGGUAAGAACAUAGCCUUGUUGGUUUUUUUUUUGAGAAUCCACGGAAACUAAAAGGUGAACCUCUUUCAUUGAGCUUUUUUUUCCCUCAUUUUAAUAAUUCUGCUAAAAUUAGAGCAUGAAUUUUCCAUUCGGUACUCUUCCAGAUUGGCUUUGGCUAAGUGAACCAGUUUUAUGAGUAGAAACUUAAUGGUCCUGAAUGGACUUUCUUGGGUUCAGUCCUUGUAUAUAGCUGACUUUUACAAAGAUUGAGGGCUUAAAUUCUUGUUUAAAGUUGAUUAUUUUAACAAUAACCAUUUAUUUUGCAGUUAUAUUUCAAUCCUGCAA
Molecule: unclassified non-coding RNA, 768 nt
Filed under: Hevea brasiliensis (rubber tree)
Lineage: Eukaryota; Viridiplantae; Streptophyta; Magnoliopsida; Malpighiales; Euphorbiaceae
Source: RNAcentral